RNAcentral lists this ribosomal RNA (461 nucleotides) under uncultured bacterium. Its description in RNAcentral is "bacterial SSU rRNA". It matches the Rfam family "Bacterial small subunit ribosomal RNA", at positions 30 to 490 of the family's 1533-position model. The record is from RNAcentral.
AUUGAACGCUGGCGGCAUGCUUUACACAUGCAAGUCGAACGGCAGCGCGGGCUUCGGCCUGGCGGCGAGUGGCGAACGGGUGAGUAAUAUAUCGGAACGUACCCAAGAGUGGGGAUAACGUAGCGAAGUUACGCUAAUACCGCAUACGAUCUAAGGAUGAAAGCAGGGGAUCGCAAGACCUUGUGCUCCUGGAGCGGCCGAUAUCUGAUUAGCUAGUUGGUGAGGUAAAGGCUCACCAAGGCAACGAUCAGUAGCUGGUCUGAGAGGACGACCAGCCACACUGGAACUGAGACACGGUCCAGACUCCUACGGGAGGCAGCAGUGGGGAAUUUUGGGACAAUGGGGGGCAACCCUGAUCCAGCAAUGCCGCGUGAGUGAAGAAGGCCUCGGUGUAAGCUCUUUGUCAGGAAGAAAGGACUGUGGCUAAUAUCCACAGCUGCUGACGGUACCUGAAGAAUAAG